CUCUUUCCCUCUCUUUCUCUCUUGCUUUCUCUCAACUAAUCUCUCUCUCUCUCAGUCUCCCUUUCGCGAUUACACUACACAGCACAUCAUAUUACUCUAUUCACAAACAGCCUGUGUAUAAACUUCACUUAAAAAAAAAAAUUCCCUUUAAUAUAUACCUAUUAUGUAGUGAUUAGAUUACUUUGAAUGGUGAGGCCAAUAUUUAUUUGAGUAAUGGACUUGUGAUCCAUUCCUUCCAUCAUUGACAUCUACAAUCUCGACGACAUCAUCACUGUCUCCUAGCUCCGUUCCACCAUCGCUUCUCAGAUCCGCAAGAACUCUCACUCCACCAAUCCCAAGCUUUUCAAUUGUGGUAGUAUCUUUCGAAGAAAUUACUUGAACGCUAGCUUGGAAUUGUUCAAGUUAGACGCUCCCUAUAGUAACGAUGAGAUCAAUGCCGUACUGGAUGAGUGGGCCGAAUUUGUGAAGCCUUUGAUUAUAGAUUAAGUACUUAAGGUUACUACACUUUUGUUAUAAUGUAACAAGUUUUAUGAUUAUUGUUAUCUUUUGCAUAUGUUACUAGUUUAUAUUUAGUUUACGAUAUACAUGGAAUUUAAGUUUUAGAAUCGAUUUUAUUAACAAUUUUGGUAUUGUGUGAUUAGUUAAUAGAAUCGAUUACUAAUUUUAUAUAAGUUUUAAAAAUGUUAUUUUAA
Cannabis sativa is the source of this 692-nucleotide long non-coding RNA. RefSeq lists it as uncharacterized. Lineage: Eukaryota; Viridiplantae; Streptophyta; Magnoliopsida; Rosales; Cannabaceae. The record is from RefSeq and is a predicted model, not a curated record. The transcript has 4 exons.